RNAcentral lists this ribosomal RNA (588 nucleotides) under Triticum aestivum (bread wheat). RNAcentral describes it as "partial small subunit ribosomal RNA". The record is from RNAcentral. Lineage: Eukaryota; Viridiplantae; Streptophyta; Magnoliopsida; Poales; Poaceae.
AUGGUAGGUGAAGAAAACGAGUAUGAUGUUGAAGGAAAUGGGCAUCUCAAUCAGCCCGUCACACGGUUUCACUUCAACACAUUACGUGAUCAUCUACGCCGAGAGUUCAGAAACAGCCUUGACCCAAUUGAAGAGAAGCAAGACAAGUUGUCGAGAGAUUUGCAGCAACUUAUGGGUAAUGUUGAUGAGCAACUCACUCAGAACAUGGCAGCCAUGAGGACUGGUAUUGUUGCUGAUAUUGUGCGAGAGCUUCGUCAGAACCGAGAAGAUGCAAGUGUCCAUGGUGAAGAACAAAAUGUAACUGAUGGGGAAGGUGCUGCCUCCAAUGCACAAGCUAGAAGAAACUAUGCUCCUGCUCCCCAUGCCACGAGACCUCCUGGUCCCGGACGUGGAAAUGAUCAUGGUAAUGGACGUGGUCAUCAUGAAGCUGUUGUUGGUCGUGGUCUUAGAGGAGGCCACUGAAGAGCAAAUCUGCACCAUGAAGGUAGUGGAGAUGAGUUUGAUGAAGAUGAAGAUGGCAUGCACCAGAAUGACAGAUUUCAUCAUCGUAGAAACUAUGGUCGUGGACGGCAGGAGGAGGAGAGGUUU